RNAcentral lists this ribosomal RNA (639 nucleotides) under uncultured bacterium. RNAcentral describes it as "bacterial SSU rRNA". It matches the Rfam family "Bacterial small subunit ribosomal RNA", at positions 8 to 673 of the family's 1533-position model. The record is from RNAcentral.
AGAGUUUGAUCCUGGCCUCAGGAUGAACGCUGGCGGCGCUGCCUAACACAUGCAAGUCGAGCGAUUCUCUUCGGAGAAGAGCGGCGGACGGGUGAGUAACGCGUGGGUAACCUGCCCUGUACACACGGAUAACAUACCGAAAGGUAUGCUAAUACGGGAUAAUGUACUUUUGUCGCAUGGCAAAAGUAUCAAAGCUCCGGCGGUACAGGAUGGACCCGCGUCUGAUUAGCUAGUUGGAGAGGUAAUGGCUCACCAAGGCAACGAUCAGUAGCCGACCUGAGAGGGUGAUCGGCCACAUUGGAACUGAGACACGGUCCAAACUCCUACGGGAGGCAGCAGUGGGGAAUAUUGCACAAUGGGCGAAAGCCUGAUGCAGCAACGCCGCGUGAGCGAUGAAGGCCUUCGGGUCGUAAAGCUCUGUCCUCAAGGAAGAUAAUGACGGUACUUGAGGAGGAAGCCCCGGCUAACUACGUGCCAGCAGCCGCGGUAAUACGUAGGGGGCUAGCGUUAUCCGGAAUUAUUGGGCGUAAAGGGUGCGUAGGCGGUCCUACAAGUCAGAGGUGAAAGGCUACGGCUCAACCGUAGUAAGCCUUUGAAACUGUAGGACUUGAGUGCAGGAGAGGAGAGUGGAAUUCCCAG